Pseudophryne corroboree (corroboree frog) is the source of this 73-nucleotide non-coding RNA. Lineage: Eukaryota; Metazoa; Chordata; Amphibia; Anura; Myobatrachidae. The record is from the annotation of a RefSeq genome assembly.
GCAUUGGUGGUUCAGUGGUAGAGUUCUCGCUUGCUAUGCGGGGGGGGCAUGGGUUCAAUUCCCGGCCAAUGCA